ACCUGUAAAAACAAAACAAAACAAAACAAAACAAACAAAGGCCACAUAUGAUUUCUCCUUCAAAACAGCAGAAGUGAUCAUUUCAAACUUUCUCAAUGAAGUUUCAGAUACUAAGUGAGCACUGCCGUGUUACAGCAGGAUCAAUUAAUCUGUGUCAGAGGUGGACAGCUGCCUUCAGUCAAGAAAAGUCAACUAUGGCAGAGACCAUGAGAAUAGAAGUUGUGUGUGUGAAAAGUCUAGAAGAAAGAGUUAUGCUACCCAAGAACUUAGCUUUUACCUACUGUGCUCACCAACAACCAGAAGAACCACAACUUGAAAACAACAGUAAUAGCGUAUUUUUCAAACUCAGAAAUUGACAGUAUAAACUCAGGCCCAUCCAUCAAAUACUCAGCAAUUAUACAUCACUGUUUCAACACUCAAAACAGCACUUCCAGAUUCUCGGAGACAUGUAAGCCUCACAAAUGCACGCCUCGUUCUAAGGAUUUUACAAACCAUCUGUACCAUGGAGAACCUAGGGACCCUAAAAGUACAGAGUGGAUCCCAAGACCCUGGCAUUUCCUCCCUAUCUCUCCAAAUGCAGCCUUCUCCUUUAUUCUCAGUUCCAGCUCAGCAUUUCUUCCCUUGUGAUCUCUGAGCUGAGCAGGCGCCUCCAUAGUCCUGCUCAGACAGGUUGCUCUCCUGCUCCAGGACACCGGUGUUGGUUCUACGUCUUCUCUACCGACAAGCACACAUACGUUAUUUUUUUGGUAGUCAAACAUCAUUUCCCAAUACUCUAGUGAAGUAAUUAUUUGGCCAGUGGAGACUCCCUCUUAACUACAACAAGAUGUGUCUGUGUAAUGCUCGGAUGGUGCCAGUCUCUGCUUGCCUACCUGAGUCUUUUUCUUCUUGUUUUGGUAUUGCUGAUCAAAUUCAAGGCGUGUGAAUGCUGGGUAAGUAUUCUAUCACUCAGCUACAUCCCAGCCCUAUCCCUCUCUUUAAAAAUAGGGAAGAACUGGAGUUGGGGAUUUAGCUCAGUGGUAGAGCGCUUACCUAGGAAGCGCAAGGCCCUGGGUUUGGUCCCCAGCUCCGAAAAAAAGAACCAAAAAAAAAAAAAAAAAAAAAAAAAAAAAAAAAAAAAAAAGGGAAGAACCCCCUCCGCCCCCUAGUCUCCAUUUCCCUUUUAUCCUCCUGUUUCCCCUUCUUCCUGCUAAGGUGUUCACCUGCUGAGGAGAGCCCACAAUCUUACGGGGCCCAACUAUGACUAAAUUUCUUUUCCCCAGUUCACUCUUUCUGAACCGUGGCUGGGUAUUUUCCAACUGAAAAAGCCUCAAGUAAAGGUCUAUGGAAGCCGAGCUUAUCUAACAUGAAACCUCAACCUUACCACUCAAAACCAAGACCCAACUUCCUGCCCCCUCAGCUCUGCAUUUUGGCACCUGGCACCACAGACUUGCUACGCUGGGGGAAUUUUAUGCACCCAUGCUGUCCAUUAUGGUGGUUACUAAGCCACAGGUGGCUACUGAGUUAUCUGAAAUGUGGCUAUGCAAAUGAGGGAGAACAACCAUAAUUUGAAGUUAAAUCAUUACACAGAGGUAGAAGCUACCAUUCUAGCCUCACUGCUAAUCGUCAGCUUUCAGCACUUCCUAUGUUUGAAGUUAUUGGGCCUUUUCAUGUCUUUCAGUUUUAUUUCCUUCUCUAUUUCCGUUGCCACCUUCACUCACACUGUGACUAACAACUGCAAAUGCAUCCUAACCUUAAGCCAAGAAACAAAGUUUCCCACCAGCAUUUCUAGUUUAGCAGUUUAGAACUAUUGCCAAACAAGCUUCUGGGCACAGUGUCCUUUAUCCUUCCCUUAUUGGACUUACUGGUCUGGUACGAGCACCUCCUACCCUGUCAAAAAAGGUCCGGUUUUUCAGCUUACAGCUGCCUAUCACAAGGUUUCAUUUUGGCCCUGGACCUUUUGCACCGGUGACAUCCCAUCAGGGUGCUUUCUUUUUUUCUGUCUAAGUAAAUUCUAAGCUCUCUGCAACUCCAGCCUUUAAUAAACCCACUUAUCUGUUGAAAUCCUGCCAUGUAGAGUUGUUGCCUGAGAGCACUACCUUUGUCCUUUCAUCGUAUGUUUGCCUCACAUCCUCAACUGCAUCCUCUGUCUCAGAUAGGGCAUGGUACUCAGCAUGCUGACUGGCUCUCGUGUGAUUAAAAUGUCGGUUCACAAGAUAGCGCAUCAUAGUGUUAAUCUUUGCUUAUCUUUAAUAAACAGGACAGUUGCAAGACAAGGGUAAGACAGUUUGGGGUACGAGUAUGACAGGUUUUGAUCACGGUUUUUCAAGCUCGUCUAAAUGAUUAAACCAUUAGUCAGUGAACAGUUAUGCUGUUCAACCUGUUAACACUAGGUUAGAGAUCACGCUAGAUUUUAAAUAGCUGGUAAAAUACUGUUCCAAAUCCAGUCCACACUAGUACUUCCUGUAUGCACACUAGAGUCAGCAGCACGACCUCCCCCAAAAGCUUCCAUUGAAGAACUUAGAGCCUGAUAAGUCAACCGCAUGGAACAUUAGUAAUCUAAACUAUCUAAUCAGCUCAAGUACAGAGAUCUCCAAAGGUGGCUCACAGUGCUCCUAAAAUAGUGCUACCUUCCAGGUCAGGCAGGAAUCAUACGGAAUGAAGAAGAUGUCAGAAGGCAAAGAAGCCAUCACAGACCAAUUGGGCUCUAUCAAAAGAACAAAGGAGCCUAUCAAAGGAGCACACAGUGGCCUAAUAGGGGACAACUUAAAUAUAAAAGUGUUUCCAAUGGACUAAACCAGGUUUGUGAUGGUUAAUAGACUGGCUGUCAACCUGACAGGAUGAAAAUCAUCUAGCUGGUGAGCUUCGCAGCAUACCUGUGAGGAUCAAUCUAUACUAGGCAGCCUUUGGGCAUGGUUGUGAAGGAGUAUCUUGAAUAGGGUAAGAAGGUGUUGUCCAUUGCCUUAACUAUGGACAACACCAUACCAUGGGCUAGACCUAAAUAAAAAGGAAAAGUGAGCUGAGCACUCUGCUUCCUGAUGUCCUCUCCUUCCACCAGGACAUCCUCCCAGACCCUCCAACUGUGACCACAAAGUUAACCCUUUCUUCUUUAAGUUGCUUUUACUACUUUAGUUUAGCAACAGGAAAAAUAAUGCAACAUCUAAUAUCUAUUUUGAGUUAAUAACAAUGUUAAACAAUAUAUUCAAGGCUUAUUCAAGUCAGCAGCUAGACCACCCAUGCAUUAAAAUAACGGCACUGGCUUUCCCCACAGACUGUAUCUGGGAUUUUGAAAUCACCACUGUGGAGAGUUCUAUUUUAUGGAAGAAAAUGUUUAAUUAGAAGAAGCAAUACCAGAAUCAGUAAACUGAUUCAUUCAUUCAUCCAUCCAUCCAUCCAUCCAUCCAUCCAUCCAUCCAUCCAUCCAUCCAUCCAUCCCUGUCUAUUUACUUGAGACAGAGACUUGCUAUGCAGCCCCAGCUGGCAUUGAACUCAUGGAGAUCCACCAUGCCCAGCUAGAGCUUUUUUUUUUUCUUUUUUAAAGUGGGCAGAUUAGCUAUUAUAGAAUAGUACAAAGCAAGAGAUUUAUCUAUGAAAUUCAGUUUGCAGAAAAGUCCAUUUUAAACAAAAUCAUUUUGUUAAAAUCAAGGAAAUACAAAAGCUGGGCACUGGACUGUACAAAGUGUGUAGAAGUGCCGAGGCUGUGAAAUGGCCUGCAUCACACAUGCGGUGCAGAUGCAGAGGAGCCGAGCUGUGUGUGAGGAGACAGAAGGGCCUCGGAGGGCAGGAAGGCGCGGGGCCAAUGACUGAAGUGGGGUUGUGGCUAGGGAAGGCUUGCUGUCUUUUUUUAUGGUCAAAUGUUCAGUUUCCCAACCAAGUGUGGUGGGAGGAGGGUAGUGCAUCCCCAAGCCAAGCUUCAUUCUUGGGCUUUUCCUUCUUAUCCCCUUGGCUGAGGAUUCUGCUCUGACCAGGUCAGAGUUUAUACUUUAUUUCUCAAAAAUCUUACUUAUUUCAGCUUCCAGUGACAGCACAUGCUUCUAAUACUAUCAUUCAGAAAUGAAGUGUAGUGGAUCUUUUGAGUUCAAGACCAGCAAGAGUUACAUAAUGAGACCCUAUCUUAACGUUUUUUUUUUAAUUUUAUGCAUCAUCUAAAAAAAUAUUUACAUCAAAGCUGCCAUGAAAUGGAAGUGUUAGUUAUUUUUAGACUUCAAUAGACCUUUGGUUUCUAUAGCAAAGGGAAUUCUGGUCUGUAUCACACUGUUCUAAGAACACUCAAAAUCCAGACUAUUCACAUGGCAUGUUUCCACAGGGACACUGGACUGACACAACAAAAGUUCUGUACAGCAACAGGUGAAGAAGCAUCACGGAUGGGUAGGAAUGGAGAGGAGGAAGCAGGAUGCUGCCAUGUUACGGGCUCAUGCUUUGUCUAAACAAGUCUGAACUUGGAGCCAAAGUGUUAAACCACAGAGAUACAAAUCCAAAUGAGACAACUACCCAAAUCAUAAACACCUGCUUAGUCUAGAAGUAACUCCAGGAAGAUGUGUAGUGACCAGCAGCACAUGCUUUGCUGAACGAGGGUGAGAAGCAUGCAUGCCCCACAAGGAGGCUCUCACUGCUGUGUGAGGGCUGAG
Rattus norvegicus (Norway rat) is the source of this 4604-nucleotide non-coding RNA. Lineage: Eukaryota; Metazoa; Chordata; Mammalia; Rodentia; Muridae. The record is from RefSeq and is a predicted model, not a curated record.